UGCACAUUUUCAUCGCAAGCUGUUUACUUUGGUGAAAUGAACCUGGAGGAGUAUGUGGUACAAAAUCCAAGUCUGCCAUGCUUCACAGGUUGAAUGGUGAUGGAGCGAUUUGCAAGAUAAUGGCCAAUCAUUUCAGGCUUGGUUUGAACCUAGAUGAAGGUUUUGCCAUGGUACUCACCCACCAUGUUGGGAGGAUAAGUGGUAUCCUGAAGAUUGCUCAACAGUGAGUCUUGGAAUACCUCAGCCCAAUCACUGUGAUCUUGAUGAGCAGAAUUUCAGAGCAAGAAAACAAGUGUGAUGUCUCUGUGUGCCAGUAUAAUAUUUCUGGAACCCUUACUCCAAAAUACAUGCCCUCAUACCGAGAAUCAUGACUUGUUUCUGCCUCAUUUGACCAUGCUCUGCUCCCGCAGCAACUCACUGCUUAACAGAGAUCUUC
This is a non-coding RNA of Chiloscyllium plagiosum (whitespotted bambooshark), 436 nucleotides long. The record is from RefSeq and is a predicted model, not a curated record. NCBI's taxonomy places the organism in Eukaryota, Metazoa, Chordata, Chondrichthyes, Orectolobiformes, Hemiscylliidae.